RNAcentral lists this ribosomal RNA (391 nucleotides) under uncultured bacterium. RNAcentral describes it as "partial 16S ribosomal RNA". It matches the Rfam family "Bacterial small subunit ribosomal RNA", at positions 523 to 917 of the family's 1533-position model. The record is from RNAcentral.
AUACGGAGGAUCCGAGCGUUAUCCGGAUUUAUUGGGUUUAAAGGGUGCGCAGGCGGCCAUUUAAGUCAGCGGUUAAAUCGUGGGGCUCAACCCCAUUCUGCCGUUGAUACUGGGUGGCUUGAUUGCGGUCGAGGUUGGCGGAAUUCGUUGUGUAGCGGUGAAGUGCAUAGAUAUGACGAAGAACACCGAUUGCGUAGGCAGCUGACCAGACCGCAAAUGACGCUCAUGCACGAAAGUGCGGGGAUCGAACAGGAUUAGAUACCCUGGUAGUCCGCACAGUAAACGAUGAAUACUUGUUUUCGGCGAUAUAAUGUCGGAGGCAAAGCGAAAGCGAUAAGUAUUCCACCUGGGGAGUACGCCGGCAACGGUGAAACUCAAAGGAAUUGACGGG